ACCCAUCAGAGGGGGAUAACACUUGGAAACAGGUGCUAAUACCGCAUAACAGUUUAUGCCGCAUGGCAUAAGAGUGAAAGGCGCUUUCGGGUGUCGCUGAUGGAUGGNCCCGCGGUGCAUUAGCUAGUUGGUGAGGUAACGGCUCACCAAGGCCACGAUGCAUAGCCGACCUGAGAGGGUGAUCGGCCACACUGGGACUGAGACACGGCCCAGACUCCUACGGGAGGCAGCAGUAGGGAAUCUUCGGCAAUGGACGAAAGUCUGACCGAGCAACGCCGCGU
Molecule: ribosomal RNA, 281 nt
Filed under: Enterococcus faecalis
Lineage: Bacteria; Bacillati; Bacillota; Bacilli; Lactobacillales; Enterococcaceae
Description: partial 16S ribosomal RNA
Rfam family: Bacterial small subunit ribosomal RNA
Source: RNAcentral